This 424-nucleotide ribosomal RNA is filed under the name uncultured prokaryote. RNAcentral describes it as "bacterial SSU rRNA". It matches the Rfam family "Bacterial small subunit ribosomal RNA", at positions 355 to 796 of the family's 1533-position model. The record is from RNAcentral.
UGGGGAAUCUUGGACAAUGGGCGAAAGCCUGAUCCAGCCAUGCCGCGUGAGUGAUGAAGGCCCUAGGGUCGUAAAGCUCUUUCGCCAGGGAUGAUAAUGACAGUACCUGGUAAAGAAACCCCGGCUAACUCCGUGCCAGCAGCCGCGGUAAUACGGAGGGGGUUAGCGUUGUUCGGAAUUACUGGGCGUAAAGCGCGCGUAGGCGGACUAUUAAGUCAGGGGUGAAAUCCCGGGGCUCAACCCCGGAACUGCCUUUGAUACUGAUACUCUAGAGUCCGGAAGAGGGUCGCGGAAUUCCCAGUGUAGAGGUGAAAUUCGUAGAUAUUGGGAAGAACACCGGUGGCGAAGGCGGCGACCUGGUCCGGUACUGACGCUGAGGCGCGAAAGCGUGGGGAGCAAACAGGAUUAGAUACCCCCGUAGUCC